Molecule: ribosomal RNA, 569 nt
Filed under: uncultured bacterium
Lineage: Bacteria
Description: partial 16S ribosomal RNA
Rfam family: Bacterial small subunit ribosomal RNA
Source: RNAcentral
UGGGGAAUAUUGCACAAUGGGCGAAAGCCUGAUGCAGCGACGCCGCGUGAGGGAUGACGGCCUUCGGGUUGUAAACCUCUUUCAGCAGGGAAGAAGCGAAAGUGACGGUACCUGCAGAAGAAGCGCCGGCUAACUACGUGCCAGCAGCCGCGGUAAUACGUAGGGCGCAAGCGUUGUCCGGAAUUACUGGGCGUAAAGAGCUCGUAGGCGGUUAGUCGCGUCUGCUGUGAAAACUCGAGGCUCAACCUCGGGCUUGCAGUGGGUACGGGCUGACUAGAGUGCGGUAGGGGUGACUGGAAUUCCUGGUGUAGCGGUGGAAUGCGCAGAUAUCAGGAGGAACACCGAUGGCGAAGGCAGGUCACUGGGCCGCAACUGACGCUGGGGAGCGAAAGCAUGGGGAGCGAACAGGAUUAGAUACCCUGGUAGUCCAUGCCGUAAACGUUGGGCACUAGGUGUGGGGGUCCAUUCCACGGAUUCCGUGCCGCAGCAAACGCAUUAAGUGCCCCGCCUGGGGAGUACGGCCGCAAGGCUAAAACUCAAAUGAAUUGACGGGGUCAUAGCUGUUUCCU